Molecule: long non-coding RNA, 100 nt
Organism: Etheostoma cragini (Arkansas darter)
Lineage: Eukaryota; Metazoa; Chordata; Actinopteri; Perciformes; Percidae
Exons: 4
Source: RefSeq, a predicted model, not a curated record
GAGACGUGUCUCUAUUUUUUUCGGACUUGUCUUUGACUUGGGCAUUGGACUCGCCAAAUAUUCUAGUUGGUCUUGACAGAGUCCAGCAAUAUAUACUUUU